AAUAGAUACCCAGGUAGUCCACGCCGUAAACGAUGAAUGCUAGGUGUUAGGGGUUUCGAUACCCUUGGUGCCGAAGUUAACACAUUAAGCAUUCCGCCUGGGGAGUACGGUCGCAAGACUGAAACUCAAAGGAAUUGACGGGGACCCGCACAAGCAGUGGAGUAUGUGGUUUAAUUCGAAGCAACGCGAAGAACCUUACCAGGUCUUGACAUCCCUCUGACCGGUGUAGAGAUACACCUUUCCUUCGGGACAGAGGAGACAGGUGGUGCAUGGUUGUCGUCAGCUCGUGUCGUGAGAUGUUGGGUUAAGUCCCGCAACGAGCGCAACCCUUGAUCUUAGUUGCCAGCACUUCGGGUGGGCACUCUAAGGUGACUGCCGGUGACAAACCGGAGGAAGGUGGGGAUGACGUCAAAUCAUCAUGCCCCUUAUGACCUGGGCUACACACGUACUACAAUGGCCGGUACAACGGGCCGCGAAGCCGCGAGGUGGAGCUAAUCCUAAAAAGCCGGUCUCAGUUCGGAUUGCAGGCUGCAACUCG
RNAcentral lists this ribosomal RNA (538 nucleotides) under uncultured bacterium. RNAcentral describes it as "bacterial SSU rRNA". It matches the Rfam family "Bacterial small subunit ribosomal RNA", at positions 777 to 1314 of the family's 1533-position model. The record is from RNAcentral.